AAAAAAAAAAAGCUACCGUUGCCCACUUAACGCUGGUGUUAAUCCAUAAAAUGAAGCCAGUUGUCAACUACGAGGUAAAGUUAGGACAACUGCCCCACGGGAAGUAAAAAAGUUGGGUCCUCUCUGCCUCUUGAGGUGCUGAAUCCUAGCCUGGAGCUACAAGCUACACAGUCCAUUCAUCAAAAGCAUGACCCUCUCCAGUGAGGGACAGAAUGCUAUGGACUAAUGAACUCAGUGCACGUGAACACAAUGUGAGGUUAAUUAGCAGCCACUGGUAACCUCUGCGUUCCUGGAUACUUCAUCACAGCUGAAGUGUACUCUUCACCGGGGCUGGUGGCACUGACGAGACCAAACACAAGGCCUUGAGCCAAUUGAAAAAUGAAAACACACAAGAAGUGGAACUGGUUCAACAGUGCGCAGCAUCGGGGGCAUAUGUAUUUGCAGUAAAAAGGUUGCAG
This is a long non-coding RNA of Larimichthys crocea (large yellow croaker), 458 nucleotides long. RefSeq lists it as uncharacterized. NCBI's taxonomy places the organism in Eukaryota, Metazoa, Chordata, Actinopteri, Sciaenidae. The record is from RefSeq and is a predicted model, not a curated record. The transcript is spliced from 4 exons.